GAGAUGACUCUCGGCAACGGAUAUCUAGGCUCUUGCCACGAUGAAGAACGUAGCGAAAUGCGAUACUUGGUGUGAAUUGCAGAUCCCGUGAACCAUCAAGUUUUUGAACGCAAGUUGCGCCCGAGGCCACCAGGCCAAGGGCACGCCUGCCUGGGCGUCACGC
RNAcentral lists this ribosomal RNA (163 nucleotides) under Illicium lanceolatum. RNAcentral describes it as "5.8S ribosomal RNA". It matches the Rfam family "5.8S ribosomal RNA". From Rfam's summary of the family: 5.8S ribosomal RNA (5.8S rRNA) is a component of the large subunit of the eukaryotic ribosome. The record is from RNAcentral. Lineage: Eukaryota; Viridiplantae; Streptophyta; Magnoliopsida; Austrobaileyales; Schisandraceae.